Molecule: non-coding RNA, 72 nt
Organism: Parelaphostrongylus tenuis
Lineage: Eukaryota; Metazoa; Nematoda; Chromadorea; Rhabditida; Metastrongylidae
Source: the annotation of a GenBank genome assembly
GCUUUGGUGGCAUAGUGGCAGCACGCAUCCCCGGUAUCGAUGAAACGCGGGUUCGACUCCCGCCAGAGGUCG